GGAGGUCCGAACCCACACCUGUUGAAAAAGGUCGGGAUGAGUUGUGCCUAGGGGUGAAAGGCCAAUCAAACUCGGAGAUAGCUGGUUCUCUGCGAAAUCUAUUUAGGUAGAGCGUCAUCCGAAUACCCCGGGGGGUAGAGCACUGGAUGGGUAAUGGGGCCCCACAGGCUUACUGAUCCUAACCAAACUCCGAAUACCCGGGAGUACUAGAUGGCAGACACACUGCGGAUGCUAACGUCCGUAGUGGAGAGGGAAACAACCCUGACCUCCGGCUAAGGCCCCUAAUUCAUGGCUAAGUGGGAAAGCAGGUGGGAUGUCCAAAACAACCAGGAGGUUGGCUUAGAAGCAGCCAUCCUUUAAAGAUAGCGUAACAGCUCACUGGUCUAAAUAAGACGUCCUGCGGCGAAGAUGUAACGGGGCUCAAGCCAUGAGCCGAAGCCGAGGAUGCACAUAGUGCAUGGUAGCAGAGCGUAGUGUGACAUAGAACAGCUCCUCCUUAACGCCUUCGGGCGUAUUGGAGGAACAGUUCUUUCGAUGAAGCGGGCGCGUGAGCGAUCCCGUGGAGAGAUCACUAGCGAGAAUGAUGACAUGAGUAGCGACAAAGAGUGUGAGAGACACUCUCGCCGAAAGUCCAAGGGUUCCUGCUUAAAGCUAAUCUGAGCAGGGUAAGCCGGCCCCUAAGCCGAGGCCGAAAGGCGUAGGCGAUGGGAACCAGGUUAAUAUUCCUGGGCCAGGAGGAUGUGACGGAUUGCGAAGGUAGUUUGCUCUUAUCGGAUUGAGCAGGCUGCUGAGCAGUCCCUGGAAAUAGCCCUCCAUCAGACCGUACCCUAAACCGACACAGGUGG
This 845-nucleotide ribosomal RNA is filed under the name Methylophaga nitratireducenticrescens. RNAcentral describes it as "bacterial LSU rRNA". It matches the Rfam family "Bacterial large subunit ribosomal RNA", at positions 768 to 1666 of the family's 2925-position model. Lineage: Bacteria; Pseudomonadati; Pseudomonadota; Gammaproteobacteria; Thiotrichales; Piscirickettsiaceae. The record is from RNAcentral.